AAAUGUGGUGAAGCAAGCACGUCUUCAUCGACAUGCUUGCCCAGGGAUAUUUUAGUCUUUUCGUUGAAUUUUUUGUCCAUUGUUUCCACCGCCACUUUUAUUGUUUAUCCAUUUUCCUUACCACUUCUUCUUCAAGCUUUUCUACGCUUUUUCAUUGGAAUGAUUUUCCUGCAACUGUCUGCAUCUCAGCUUAAUUUGGGAGUUUGAGAAUCAAGCUAGAGCAUUAGGAACUCAACAUCAGCAACAAGAUUUGCAUAGUGAGUUCUACUGUUUCAAAUUUCAACUCCUCAUGUGCUUUUGGAUCCAUGGGGUAACAGUUGCUGAAAUGCCUCUAAUGGCAACAUACAAUAAAUACCGCCGCCAGGGAAUAUGUAGCGUCUUCUAAAUUCUAUACUGGAGGCAUUUUUUCAGCUGAGCUAUAUGGUAAAAUGUCUCUUGGACUCUUUCAUUGGUUGCAGAAAGAUUGAGAACAGAGAUGAUUUUCGAAACAAGAGAUUGGAGCUGGCUGGUGAGCUCCUUGAACGAGAGCUCAGGACACACAUUAAACAUGUCGAGAGGUGUAUGGUGGAGGCAAUACAAAGAGAUCUUUAUGGAGAUCGACCAGUGCAGCCAAUUGAGCACUACUUGGAUACAUCAAUAAUACCAAUGGUGUCUCCAGGGCAUUUUCCACUGGACAUUGGUGUCACCCUUACAAGAGAAUGGAUAUGGUUUUCGGUGUAGUUGCAACUCUUAGACGAACAAAUCCAUUGCAAAUGACUACCGAUAUGAGGAAAACGCGUCAGCAGGUUACAUACACCGGGAGGGUUGGUGAUACACUGAUACUAGAUAUUCACUUCCUUCUCACUAGGGAAAAUGGCCUCUUCUUGGAUCUGCUUCCUUCAGCUGGAAUCAAUCAUGUAGUUUUCACCAAAAAAACAUGUUCUUUUCCCAACCAAGUUUUUAAAUAAAGGUUAUUUAUUCAAUUUACCAUUUAAGUGCAUUUUAUUUCCUAAGAAAUUUAGAUUACGUAGAUUAUUUAUGUAGUUUGUUUUUUAGAUUUAUUAAUGACCUUUUUAAAAAGCAGGUAGAGAUGUCUGAAGCCUAUAAGUUUUUGAGCAUUAGUUUCCUUUACAACUACAGGUCUUUCCUUGCAAAGUUGUUUUCUUUGCAUACAAUUAGGUACUACGAUCUUCAAUUCCGACUGGUAAAACAUGAACUGAGAGCAAUAUGCAGAGAAAACUUGCAGGAUCUGCUCAUGACGAGGGCGAAGUCCCUGCUAUAUUGCUUACUGAUGUUGAUAGUUCAUUCAUUUUUUUGACUUGGGCUCUCUCUUUGUUUCAAACUUUGCUUGCCUGGCUCACCUUAUCGUUCUUUGUUGUUGAAAAGUGAUUUUCAGUACAUACUAGAUCUUUAGCUUAUUUACUGUUCAAAAAUGUACUCUUUGUUGCAACAUGUCUUACAAUUUGGAGAAUGAUGUCACUUGUGAGACUCCUAAUGAGAUAAACUCAUUUGCUUUUGCUAUGAUAUAUAUAAUUUUCCCAUACAAUAUUAGAAACAUUUAAUAUUGGGUCUACCAUCUAGUAUACAUACAAUAUGUGAGCAUUAUUUAAAAAUAAAAAAAAUUACUUAACACUACACCUUUUUAAUAUUACUUAAAAUCCCACAUCUACAAAGUAAUUACAAAAAUUUUAACUCACUUUCUCUAUACAUAACGUUAUUGGAUAUUUUCACUUUAAAGUGCAGUUUUCCUGGAAGAAGACAGGCAUGCAACAGAGUUAAACCCACUGGCGGAACACCUCCAUCCGACCCACUCUUCCGCCGGCCACCACCCACCGAUGAAACAUUUCCAUCACCGUUGAACCCAAUUACUACUCUUUCAACUCCAUUAAAAACGAAUUGAAAUAGAGUCGCGGUGUCAUUGCUAUCUCCAUUGCUCCGAUUAAUUUUCAGUGAAGCUUUGUUAAACCCAUGGAAAAGUCAUUGUUAAAUAUGUAUCGGAAUGAAGAUACAUCAUGGGAUCUGCUAAAAAAGUACAAAUAAAGGGAAUUUAGAGAUUCAUCAAUGGAGGUUGAACAUGAUGAUGACGUCCUCCACCAUCACAUCUCGAAUCCAUGAUAGUGUACAAGACAAUUCAAGCCAUGAGGAAUUUUAAAGUUUGGAGAUUCGUCAAGGGAGGUUGAAGAUGAUGAUGUUAUUGAAGAUACAUAAGAACGACGUGUAUGUGAAGAGAGUUCGGAGAUACAUAAGAAUGAUAUAUUUAAUAGAAAAUGAUAAGAAGAUACCUCACACGAUUCUUCACCAAAUGUACAAAAGUUAUACAUCUUACUAAUAUUAGGUUUCAGAUACAUAAGAAAGAUGUAUUUGAUUGAAAAUCUAUAAGAAAAAAUCAUGUA
Molecule: long non-coding RNA, 2372 nt
Organism: Capsicum annuum
Lineage: Eukaryota; Viridiplantae; Streptophyta; Magnoliopsida; Solanales; Solanaceae
Exons: 4
Source: RefSeq, a predicted model, not a curated record